Molecule: ribosomal RNA, 253 nt
Filed under: uncultured bacterium
Lineage: Bacteria
Description: partial 16S ribosomal RNA
Rfam family: Bacterial small subunit ribosomal RNA
Source: RNAcentral
UACGGAGGGUGCAAGCGUUAUCCGGAUUCACUGGGUUUAAAGGGUGCGUAGGAGGGCAGGUAAGUCAGUGGUGAAAUCUUCGAGCUUAACUCGGAAACUGACGUUGAUACUAUCUGUCUUGAAUACCGUGGAGAUGAGCGGAAUAUGUCAUGUAGCGGUGAAAUGCUUAGAUAUGACAUAGAACACCAAUUGCGAAGGCAGCUCGUUACACGAAUAUUGACUCUGAGGCACGAAAGCGUGGGGAUCAAACAGG